UGGGGAAUUUUGGACAAUGGGGGAAACCCUGAUCCAGCCAUCCCGCGUGUGCGAUGAAGGCCUUCGGGUUGUAAAGCACUUUUGGCAGGAAAGAAACGUCAUGGGUUAAUACCCCGUGAAACUGACGGUACCUGCAGAAUAAGCACCGGCUAACUACGUGCCAGCAGCCGCGGUAAUACGUAGGGUGCAAGCGUUAAUCGGAAUUACUGGGCGUAAAGCGUGCGCAGGCGGUUCGGAAAGAAAGAUGUGAAAUCCCAGAGCUCAACUUUGGAACUGCAUUAUUAACUACCGGGCUAGAGUGUGUCAGAGGGAGGUGGAAUUCCUCGUGUAGCAGUGAAAUGCGUAGAUAUGCGGAGGAACACCGAUGGCGAAGGCAGCCUCCUGGGAUAACACUGACGCUCAUGCACGAAAGCGUGGGGAGCAAACAGG
RNAcentral lists this ribosomal RNA (429 nucleotides) under Acidobacteriota bacterium. Its description in RNAcentral is "Acidobacteria bacterium partial 16S ribosomal RNA". It matches the Rfam family "Bacterial small subunit ribosomal RNA", at positions 355 to 776 of the family's 1533-position model. Lineage: Bacteria; Pseudomonadati; Acidobacteriota. The record is from RNAcentral.